UACGAUCAAAUCGCGUUGAAACAUCGGUUCCCGCACGAUUCCCGAAGUUAAGCAACGUGAGCCUGAUCAGUACCUACAUGGGUGACCGCUUGGGAAUGCCAGGUGCUAU
This is a non-coding RNA of Acanthosepion pharaonis, 109 nucleotides long. The record is from the annotation of a GenBank genome assembly. NCBI's taxonomy places the organism in Eukaryota, Metazoa, Mollusca, Cephalopoda, Sepiida, Sepiidae.